GAUGAACGCUGGCGGCGUGCCUAACACAUGCAAGUCGAACGGAGAUUACGGACGGAAGUUUUCGGAUGGAAGCCUGUAAUUCUUAGUGGCGGACGGGUGAGUAACGCGUGGGCAACCUGCCCUAUACAGGGGGAUAGCAGCUGGAAACGGCUGGUAAGACCGCAUAAGUCGGUUAAAUCGCAUGAUUUGAUCGGGAAAUGAGCAAUCAGGUAUAGGAUGGGCCCGCGUCCGAUUAGCCAGUUGGCAGGGUAAAAGCCUACCAAAGCGACGAUCGGUAGCCGGAAGGGGGGGUGGGACGGCAAAAUUGGGACUGGGCCCCGCCCAAAACCCCUCAGGGGGGGAGAAGGGGGGGAAAUGGAAAAAGGGGGGAAACUCUGAUGCGGGGGCGCCGGGGGAGGGAAGAAGUAUUUGGGUAGGAAAAGCUCUAUCAGCAGGGAAGAUGGUGGGGGGACCGGACUAAGAAGCCCCGGCAAACUAGGG
Molecule: ribosomal RNA, 480 nt
Filed under: uncultured bacterium
Lineage: Bacteria
Description: partial 16S ribosomal RNA
Rfam family: Bacterial small subunit ribosomal RNA
Source: RNAcentral